CGAAUGCUGACAUAAGUAACGAUAAAGCGGGUGAAAAGCCCGCUCGCCGGAAGACCAAGGGUUCCUGUCCAACGUUAAUCGGGGCAGGGUGAGUCGACCCCUAAGGCGAGGCCGAAAGGCGUAGUCGAUGGGAAACAGGUUAAUAUUCCUGUACUUGGUGUUACUGCGAAGGGGGGACGGAGAAGGCUAUGUUGGCCGGGCGACGGUUGUCCCGGUUUAAGCGUGUAGGCUGGUUUUCCAGGCAAAUCCGGAAAAUCAAGGCUGAGGCGUGAUGACGAGGCACUACGGUGCUGAAGCAACAAAUGCCCUGCUUCCAGGAAAAGCCUCUAAGCAUCAGGUAACAUCAAAUCGUACCCCAAACCGACACAGGUGGUCAGGUAGAGAAUACCAAGGCGCUUGAGAGAACUCGGGUGAAGGAACUAGGCAAAAUGGUGCCGUAACUUCGGGAGAAGGCACGCUGAUAUGUAGGUGAAGUCCCUCGCGGAUGGAGCUGAAAUCAGUCGAAGAUACCAGCUGGCUGCAACUGUUUAUUAAAAACACAGCACUGUGCAAACACGAAAGUGGACGUAUACGGUGUGACGCCUGCCCGGUGCCGGAAGGUUAAUUGAUGGGGUUAGCGCAAGCGAAGCUCUUGAUCGAAGCCCCGGUAAACGGCGGCCGUAACUAUAACGGUCCUAAGGUAGCGAAAUUCCUUGUCGGGUAAGUUCCGACCUGCACGAAUGGCGUAAUGAUGGCCAGGCUGUCUCCACCCGAGACUCAGUGAAAUUGAACUCGCUGUGAAGAUGCAGUGUACCCGCGGCAAGACGGAAAGACCCCGUGAACCUUUACUAUAGCUUGACACUGAACAUUGAGCCUUGAUGUGUAGGAUAGGUGGGAGGCUUUGAAGUGUGGACGCCAGUCUGCAUGGAGCCGACCUUGAAAUACCACCCUUUAAUGUUUGAUGUUCUAACGUGGACCCGUAAUCCGGGUUGCGGACAGUGUCUGGUGGGUAGUUUGACUGGGGCGGUCUCCUCCUAAAGAGUAACGGAGGAGCACGAAGGUUGGCUAAUCCUGGUCGGACAUCAGGAGGUUAGUGCAAUGGCAUAAGCCAGCUUGACUGCGAGCGUGACGGCGCGAGCAGGUGCGAAAGCAGGUCAUAGUGAUCCGGUGGUUCUGAAUGGAAGGGCCAUCGCUCAACGGAUAAAAGGUACUCCGGGGAUAACAGGCUGAUACCGCCCAAGAGUUCAUAUCGACGGCGGUGUUUGGCACCUCGAUGUCGGCUCAUCACAUCCUGGGGCUGAAGUAGGUCCCAAGGGUAUGGCUGUUCGCCAUUUAAAGUGGUACGCGAGCUGGGUUUAGAACGUCGUGAGACAGUUCGGUCCCUAUCUGCCGUGGGCGCUGGAGAACUGAGGGGGGCUGCUC
Molecule: ribosomal RNA, 1401 nt
Filed under: Escherichia coli
Lineage: Bacteria; Pseudomonadati; Pseudomonadota; Gammaproteobacteria; Enterobacterales; Enterobacteriaceae
Description: partial 23S ribosomal RNA
Rfam family: Bacterial large subunit ribosomal RNA
Source: RNAcentral